Molecule: long non-coding RNA, 1428 nt
Organism: Engraulis encrasicolus (European anchovy)
Lineage: Eukaryota; Metazoa; Chordata; Actinopteri; Clupeiformes; Engraulidae
Exons: 5
Source: RefSeq, a predicted model, not a curated record
UUGGUAACUGACGCAGGUCUGACGCUCAACGUCAAGUACGUAACUCUGCUUCUCAAUUUUCUGACAAAGCCGCCAUCUUGGUGCUGCAGGAAAGCCGUUUGAGAUAUUGGUGAAAUUCAAACACUUUGUGAGAUGACAGAAUAUUGCUGAAGGAUCCUACAUGGAAGCUGGCUGAUUACACGGAGUGAUUCCUCUGGUGUGGUGUACCUCAGAGAAAUAAACACUGUUGCAAGAGCUGAGAAGAUGGCCAAGAUAUCCUUAUUGCUGGAUGGUAGCUCUCUGGUCGUAGUGGACCAUGUCUGCAAAUGCUUCUGAACAUUGACAGAAUUUCUAAAGGAUCGCUGAGGACUCCCCCUCCAUGCGUGACAUCUGUGAGAAAUUUCCACGCUUUCUGGAGAUGCCAAGUUUGAUUCUUUCAGACUGGAACCAACUUUGCAUCCCUCGGCACUGACACUGAGAAGGUUUCAAGGACCCCACUACUAGGAGGCGAGGGUUUGACACGGCAGUGUCAUCACUGCCAUUGAUGACAACGUAACCAUUCCUGUUGCUGAUUGCCUGACUUGCGCAGUGACAAGCUUUUCAUGCUCUACUGGGUGUGUAACUUGGCAUAUCCACCACAGUUUAACUCUGUUUUUGCCUCUUUUGAAUAUGUGUACGAUAUAACCAUCUCAACCAACAAGUGGGCCAAGGUACUGGAACAUUUCUCACUUCAAGUUGCUCUUUAGUCACUGGACAUUUUUUUAAACAUCUACGCAGACACCACCACUCCACAACAUACCAUGUGUAUUUUAAUUACUUCUGAUUCCACUGACAUGCAGACUACAUCCUAUGCAAAUUCAGGUAAUUUACCUGGUACUGGAGAAACAGCAUUGUAUGCCAUUCUAAGUGAUACUUGCCUCCUUGUUUUGCAAAAAUGUACUGUUCUUUGAAUAUAACUUAAAGUAAGAUCAUGUUGACUCUGAGGUUUUCUCCGGUUGUCAAGCACAACCUUAACGUUUUGUAAGUAAUAGUCACAGGAUAUGCAUGCAUUUGUAAUUUGAAUUUUCGUUGAAAACGGCUCACCAAGCAUAAAAUGUUACCUCUGCUUUUGAUUUUUCUUUUUUUAAAAUGUCCCUUAAUACCAGCCUGUGUUUUUGUUGUGUUCACAUCAUCAGUGUUGGGAAGGAACAGAUUGCUGUAAGCAGAUUUUUAGUUACUGUAUCCCCAUCCUUUCAGAUCAGUGCUUUAAAGCCUUUUGAAAUUAAAUUGUUAAUAAACUUAAACAAACUCAAAUCUUGGUUAUUGGUUAUGAUUGAUAUAGCUUUGAAACUGUUAAUUUGGAGUGAAGUAAUUGCAGUGUCCAUCUAACCAAGCAAAUCGGUUAAAAUUUUAACCAAUAUCUGUGUCGGACACAUAUUAAUCGAACAAAUUGGUCAAAACAACCAUUGG